This 481-nucleotide long non-coding RNA is filed under the name Monodelphis domestica (gray short-tailed opossum). RNAcentral's name for it is "lncRNA (ENSMODG00000030410.2)". Lineage: Eukaryota; Metazoa; Chordata; Mammalia; Didelphimorphia; Didelphidae. The record is from RNAcentral.
GACAGUUGAUUAACUGUCACUCUGGAUUUGAGAGAGGGAGGAGACAGGUUUAUUUGUGAGUCAUCUUGAACCCAUCCAUCAAACAACUGGCCUUGAGGAUUUUCUAGUUGUGGUGAAAGAAUAACUCCAGUCUUCCUGGUGGACAGCCAGACUGGGGAAAAGAUCUUUACCCUGCUGGGACAUCUGAGGACAUCAGCUGGACUCCUGUUUUUGGCUCACCAAGUACUCUUUGUCACAUCUUACCAUAAGAUUAUAGAUUUAAAGUUGAAAGGCACUAACAAGGUCUGCUAGAAUAACAUAUGAAGAAACUGAGGCCCAGGAUUUGCCAAAUAAGUGAUUUGCCCAAGAUCACAGGGUUUAUCCCACAUCAAAAUGUACUGGAUCCUGGAGCCCAAUAGUGUCAAACUCAAAUUGAAACACGGGUCACCAAACCAUACAUAAGGAUCCUUGUCUUUCACAUGUUAACUUAGUUAAAAGCACA